This 560-nucleotide ribosomal RNA is filed under the name uncultured euryarchaeote. RNAcentral describes it as "bacterial SSU rRNA". It matches the Rfam family "Archaeal small subunit ribosomal RNA", at positions 342 to 903 of the family's 1478-position model. The record is from RNAcentral. Lineage: Archaea; Methanobacteriati; Methanobacteriota.
CGAAAACUUGACAAUGCGAGAAAUCGUGAUCAGGGAACUCCAAGUGGCUGGGGUAAGACCCAGUCUUUUCUUGACUCUACAAAGGUCUUGGAAUAAGGGGUGGGUAAGGACGGUGCCAGCCGCCGCGGUAAUACCGGCGCCUCAAGUGGUAGUCGCUUUUAUUGGGCCUAAAACGUCCGUAGCCGGUCUGAUACAUUCGUGGGUAAAUCAACUAGCUCAACUAGUUGAAUUCUGCGAGGACGGUCAGACUUGGGACCGGGAGAGGUGUGGGGUACGCUCAGGGUAGGGGUAAAAUCCUGUCAUCCUAAGCGGACCACCUGUUGCGAAGGCGCCACACUAGAACGGAUCCGACGGUCAGGGACGAAGCCUAGGGGCACGAACCGGAUUAGAUACCCGGGUAGUCCUAGGUGUAAACGCUGUGGACUUGAUGUUGGGGGCGCUCCGAGCGCUUCCAGUGUCGAAGCGAAGGUGAUAAGUCCACUGCCUGGGAAGUACGGUCGCAAGGCUGAAACUUAAAGGAAUUGGCGGGGGAGCACCGCAACCUGAGGAUUGUGCGGUUU